CCCGUACUCGGGAAAUGUAAACAUGACACGGUUUUGUCAUGCUUAUGCCUUCUUUCACGAUGUCCUGUGCAAUAUUGAGGUCAGCUUCACCAUUCGAAAUUUUUACAGUUAAUCAAUAAUACGAAGGACUUGCAUUUCAAGAUCUCAGAUGCAUGCAAACACUUACAGAAAUUGCUCCUUGGGAGUAAUUCCCAGGAAUCUGAAGAGUUCUACAGUGGAUGGAGUCUUUGGCUGCCCUGGACAAGCUGGUGAAAACUGGGGGGUGGAGGGAAGGAGGCGAAUGGAAUCCACUGAAAUUGCAAACACAUCUUGUACAAAACACCAUAUAGUGCUGAUGUUUUCAAAGUGGUAAAAAUCUAGUGACUGCAAUCCAUUCAUCUUUCUAUUAAACUUCAUUUUUUAGUCCCACAUUUAUUUUUACUUUGUAUGUUUGAGAAAAAGAGCUUCAAUUAGUUCACAUGUGACACUAAAUUCUGCAUCACUUCAGUGCUUACACAAGCCUUAGAGUUCAGGUUGACAAUAAGGAACAAUAACUGUCAAAGGUAAUUUCUGGUUUCAGAAAAUUGAUAAUUUAGUCAAUUUGAUGGGUACUGUGGUCAAUUGUUUGACAAAUAAAGUUAUUCAUUACUGCUA
This is a long non-coding RNA of Saccostrea echinata, 633 nucleotides long. RefSeq lists it as uncharacterized. The transcript has 2 exons. The record is from RefSeq and is a predicted model, not a curated record. Lineage: Eukaryota; Metazoa; Mollusca; Bivalvia; Ostreida; Ostreidae.